AGAGUUUGAUCAUGGCUCAGGGUGAACGCUGGCGGCGUGCCUUACACAUGCAAGUCGAGCGAAGCUGCUAGGAUGAGCCCUUCGGGGUGAAUUCUAGUAGACUGAGCGGCGGACGGGUGAGUAACGCGUAGGUGACCUACCCCUCAGAGGGGGAUAACUGGGGGAAACCCCAGCUAAUACCCCAUACGUUCCAUGUAUGGUAGGUACAUGGAAGAAAGGGGGCAACAGCUCUGCUGAGGGAGGGGCCUGCGUCCCAUCAGGUAGUUGGUGAGGUAAUGGCUCACCAAGCCUACGACGGGUAGCCGGUCUGAGAGGAUGGCCGGCCACAAGGGCACUGAGACACGGGCCCUACUCCUACGGGAGGCAGCAGUGGGGGAUUUUGGACAAUGGGCGAAAGCCUGAUCCAGCGACGCCGCGUGCGGGAAGAAGCCCUUCGGGGUGUAAACCGCUGUGGUGGGAGACGAAUAAGGCGAGGAGUGGAAAGCCUUGCUGAUGACGGUAUCCCACUAGAAAGCCCCGGCUAACUACGUGCCAGCAGCCGCGGUAAUACGUAGGGGGCGAGCGUUACCCGGAUUCACUGGGCGUAAAGGGGGCGUAGGCGGCCGUGAAAGUCCGGUGUGAAAGGCCACGGCUCAACCGUGGAACUGCGCUGGAAACUACACGGGCUUGAGGACGG
This 676-nucleotide ribosomal RNA is filed under the name uncultured bacterium. RNAcentral's name for it is "bacterial SSU rRNA". It matches the Rfam family "Bacterial small subunit ribosomal RNA", at positions 8 to 651 of the family's 1533-position model. The record is from RNAcentral.